UGUGGGCUGACCUCCUGCAAGUGUCACACAGCCGGGAGCACCUCCCUGGGGAAAGCGGGGAGAGGCACAGCCAUAAUUGGUUAGAACACUAAGGGACUCUGAGCAUUUCGUUUCUACUGCCAGCAUCUGUAAGAAAACAACCUUUGAAGAGAUGCUAUUUGAAAUAUGAACUACAUUACAUAGAAUUGGAAACAUCUCCCCAGAGAAUGAACUAGAACAAUCUUUUGCCUCGUACAGAGCAAUGAAGACCUACUAGGCCUGAUGUUGAUACUAACCAGUGUGCUGCUGGAGAAAACUGCUUUAAAGUUUUUCUUUUUUUACAUGCUGUGAAAAUCCUGGAAAGCACAUAAUCAGAGAAAUCACAUUCAUAUGGAAACGUAAAAACAUGAGCAAGCUUGUCUGUGAGCAAAGACACAGUGUAGAGUCUCAUAUCUCAACAAAG
Molecule: long non-coding RNA, 442 nt
Filed under: Capra hircus (goat)
Lineage: Eukaryota; Metazoa; Chordata; Mammalia; Artiodactyla; Bovidae
Description: lncRNA (ENSCHIG00010016520.1)
Source: RNAcentral